This 374-nucleotide ribosomal RNA is filed under the name uncultured organism. Its description in RNAcentral is "partial 16S ribosomal RNA". It matches the Rfam family "Bacterial small subunit ribosomal RNA", at positions 526 to 896 of the family's 1533-position model. The record is from RNAcentral.
GUAAGGUGGCAAGCGUUGUCCGGAAUUAUUGGGCGUAAAGCGCGCGCAGGCGGUUCUUUAAGUCUGAUGUGAAAGCCCACGGCUCAACCGUGGAGGGUCAUUGGAAACUGGAGAACUUGAGUACAGAAGAGGAAAGCGGAAUUCCACGUGUAGCGGUGAAAUGCGUAGAGAUGUGGAGGAACACCAGUGGCGAAGGCGGCUUUCUGGUCUGUAACUGACGCUGAGGCGCGAAAGCGUGGGGAGCAAACAGGGAUUAGAUACCCUGGUAGUCCACGCCGUAAACGAUGAGUGCUAAGUGUUAGGGGGGUUUCCGCCCCCUUAGUGCUGCAGCUAACGCAUUAAGCACUCCGCCUGGGGAUACGGCCGCAAGGCUG